This 221-nucleotide long non-coding RNA is filed under the name Manihot esculenta (cassava). Its description in RNAcentral is "long non-coding RNA (MESC_LNC007824)". The record is from RNAcentral. Lineage: Eukaryota; Viridiplantae; Streptophyta; Magnoliopsida; Malpighiales; Euphorbiaceae.
CCGUCCCAAAUCCGUUUAAUAUUUUAUUUUUAAUAUCCGAACCCGUCCCGAAUCCGUUUAGCAAUACCCGCACAAUACCCGAACCCGAUUUUUUUAAUUCAAUUCGAUGAGAAAAACUGCCAAAUAAACUACACCUAACAGUUGCACAACCGCAGUGUGUUCAAUAACAAGAACCAGCAACUCAGCAACCCAGCAAAUAAUGAUUUAUAAUCAUAUAAUCA